Molecule: long non-coding RNA, 933 nt
Organism: Vigna angularis (adzuki bean)
Lineage: Eukaryota; Viridiplantae; Streptophyta; Magnoliopsida; Fabales; Fabaceae
Exons: 2
Source: RefSeq, a predicted model, not a curated record
GGGGGAGGAUGAGACCUACCGCGCGACGCCAACCCAAGGACUCUUUCCUUCCUCCACCGCCACCCACUCCAGUCGAUUUCCACCGCCGCCAGUACCCCUCCCGCGACUCCGAUUGCACAGAUUGCUAUCUAUCCAAUGGAUCUUGUCAAAACUAGGUUACAGACUUGUGCUUCUGAUGGUGGAAGGGUUCCUAAAAUUAGUACUCUUACAAAGGAUAUAUGGGUCCAUGAGGGACCUCGGGCUUUCUACAGAGGGCUUGUUCCAUCUCUUCUGGGUAUAAUUCCCUAUGCAGGGAUUGAUCUAACUGUAUAUGACACCUUGAAAGAUAUAUCCAAGAGAUAUAUUCUUCAUGACAGUGAAAGUGGAUUCUGAAAGGCUGAUGCUGGGAUCGGCGAUGGGGGUCCUUUUCUCCUUGCCCGUCAGCUCCCGUUCCUGAUACAAGCAAAAGGGUGAUCGAAAAAUGAAAAAUUUAGAAGAGUGAAGAAAUAUAGAAAGAGAGAGAGAGAGGGAGAACCUGUUUGGUUUGGGUGAGAGGCCAUUGAGAUGGUGGAAGAAGGAACAGAGGAGAGUGUGGAAGUGAAGGGAGUAAGAGGAAGAUGGUUUUGGAUUGUUAUGAUUUCAAGAUAUUGAGAAUCUUAAAGGAAAGGAAGAUGGGUGGAAGGAAAGUGGAGAAACAGACUCAGAAACACGAAACUUUAGAGAAACACACGCAUUCGGAGGAAGACAGUUUGGACUUUUGACACGUAAUCAAUAAGUACUGUCACAUCAUCAGCCUACUAACUCCGUUUCUUUCUAUUUAACGGAAGGGAUUCAUUAGACUAAAAAAAUUACAAGUAAGGAUCCAUUGCACUCACAUUUCUAGAAAGGGACUAACUUGAGAUUUCCGAACCAAAGUGGGGACAAAAUUGAGUAUUAUGCCUUUUUUUUCUCAGA